RNAcentral lists this transfer RNA (90 nucleotides) under Hyphomicrobiales bacterium. RNAcentral describes it as "tRNA-Ser". It matches the Rfam family "tRNA". From Rfam's summary of the family: Transfer RNA (tRNA) molecules are approximately 80 nucleotides in length. Their secondary structure includes four short double-helical elements and three loops (D, anti-codon, and T loops). Lineage: Bacteria; Pseudomonadati; Pseudomonadota; Alphaproteobacteria; Hyphomicrobiales. RNAcentral also lists the same sequence under 4 other names. The record is from RNAcentral.
GGAGGGGUGGCUGAGUGGUUGAAAGCACCGGUCUUGAAAACCGGCAACGGGGCAACUCGUUCGGGGGUUCGAAUCCCUCCCCCUCCGCCA